UACGUAGGGGGCAAGCGUUGUCCGGAAUUAUUGGGCGUAAAGAGCUCGUAGGCGGUCUGUCGCGUCGGCUGUGAAAACCCGGGGCUCAACCCCGGGCCUGCAGUCGAUACGGGCAGACUAGAGUGCGGUAGGGGAGACUGGAAUUCCUGGUGUAGCGGUGAAAUGCGCAGAUAUCAAGUGGAACACCAGUGGCGAAGGCGAGUCUCUGGACAUUUCCUGACGCUGAGGCGCGAAAGCUAGGGGAGCAAACAGG
Molecule: ribosomal RNA, 253 nt
Filed under: uncultured bacterium
Lineage: Bacteria
Description: partial 16S ribosomal RNA
Rfam family: Bacterial small subunit ribosomal RNA
Source: RNAcentral